GAAAGGGAAAAAAGGUUUUUUUUUUUUUUUUUUUUUUUUUCCUUGCGUUUUUGCUUUUUGCUCUUCUUGUUCUUCUCCUUCUUAUCCUUGU
This 91-nucleotide non-coding RNA is filed under the name Prorocentrum micans. Lineage: Eukaryota; Dinophyceae; Prorocentrales; Prorocentraceae. The record is from RNAcentral.